This 253-nucleotide ribosomal RNA is filed under the name uncultured bacterium. RNAcentral's name for it is "partial 16S ribosomal RNA". It matches the Rfam family "Bacterial small subunit ribosomal RNA", at positions 524 to 776 of the family's 1533-position model. The record is from RNAcentral.
UACGGAGGGGGCUAGCGUUGUUCGGAAUUACUGGGCGUAAAGCGCGCGUAGGCGGACCUGCAAGUCGGGGGUGAAAGCCCGAGGCUCAACCUCGGAACUGCCUUCGAUACUGCGGGUCUCGAGUCCGGGAGAGGUGAGUGGAAUUCCUAGUGUAGAGGUGAAAUUCGUAGAUAUUAGGAAGAACACCAGUGGCGAAGGCGGCUCACUGGCCCGGUACUGACGCUGAGGCGCGAAAGCGUGAGGAGCAAACAGG